Molecule: ribosomal RNA, 554 nt
Filed under: Streptococcus thermophilus
Lineage: Bacteria; Bacillati; Bacillota; Bacilli; Lactobacillales; Streptococcaceae
Description: bacterial SSU rRNA
Rfam family: Bacterial small subunit ribosomal RNA
Source: RNAcentral
CCUUAGGGGGGGGGAGCAGUAGGGAAUCUUCGGCAAUGGGGGCAACCCUGACCGAGCAACGCCGCGUGAGUGAAGAAGGUUUUCGGAUCGUAAAGCUCUGUUGUAAGUCAAGAACGGGUGUGAGAGUGGAAAGUUCACACUGUGACGGUAGCUUACCAGAAAGGGACGGCUAACUACGUGCCAGCAGCCGCGGUAAUACGUAGGUCCCGAGCGUUGUCCGGAUUUAUUGGGCGUAAAGCGAGCGCAGGCGGUUUGAUAAGUCUGAAGUUAAAGGCUGUGGCUCAACCAUAGUUCGCUUUGGAAACUGUCAAACUUGAGUGCAGAAGGGGAGAGUGGAAUUCCAUGUGUAGCGGUGAAAUGCGUAGAUAUAUGGAGGAACACCGGUGGCGAAAGCGGCUCUCUGGUCUGUAACUGACGCUGAGGCUCGAAAGCGUGGGGAGCGAACAGGAUUAGAUACCCUGGUAGUCCACGCCGUAAACGAUGAGUGCUAGGUGUUGGAUCCUUUCCGGGAUUCAGUGCCGAAGCUAACGCAUUAAGCACUCCGGCCGGGGGGG